Gallus gallus (chicken) is the source of this 1339-nucleotide long non-coding RNA. NCBI's taxonomy places the organism in Eukaryota, Metazoa, Chordata, Aves, Galliformes, Phasianidae. The record is from Ensembl.
UUCCACGUCAGGUACCGUUCUGUCAGACUGCCCCUCUGCUGCCAUCUGCUGCAUGACUACAGAAUGUAAUGGAAAUACUGCGGAGAAGGCUCAGCCCCAGUUUGGGUCACUGGUGAGACGUGCAAGCCACAACAAUAAGUGGCUCAGUGGCUUCUUGCUGGGGUCAUGGUGUUUAUAAUUUAUUUACACCCAACUAACACACACAGCUGAAUUCCAAAUUAAUUUAUCUUCACUGAUAACAGCAUAAAAUUACACUUUAUUACUAGUAGCCCUUCAGCCCAGAUGAGAGACCCUUAUGAAAGUGUGCAAAGCCCUUCUUUGUUCUAAAUCAAAGUGCAUGGAGUCCGUAUAUAUUGACUGCUCGCCUGUUUUGUUUAUUUUGAAGCAAAUUUAAUGCAUGUAGGAACUGAGGUUUAAAAUCUUCACUACUUCUGAGGACUCCUGUAGUCUCCAAAUGGAUGAUUUAGUUGGAGACCUGAUCAUGGAAGGCAGAUUGGACAAGGUCUGGCCAGUCCCCUAUUUCCCCCCCCUCAAACCAACUGCUCUGUAUGAAUGUAAGUGGAGGUACCGCUGCUUGCUGUGAGGUUUUGAAAGUCCUGAUAUAUCAAAACGCUCAAUAACUGCUCUAUUUUAAGCACGUUUUUGGAUUACUUGAUUUUCUUUGGAACGGAGAAAUUGUAAUGCAGAAAGGUGACCCAUCCUGGUUGAGGGGAUGAUGUUUUUACAGGGACUCAAACUUUUCCAUCUUGUUCCAUCAAUAUAAACAAAGCAUGGUGGACUGUUUCAGCACUCCUAAGAUAAAGCUGAAGUGUGACUGUUGGUUAGUUGGUUGUUUUUAAUGUUUUUAUGGUUUAGGCCGUGUCCAUCUCCUGUAUUGAAGGACUGCAGCAGUGCCACUCUAAAUGGAAGUAAACUGCCUUUGGAAAGUAUCCCAUCAGGAGAAUGGUAAAAGAGAGAUGUGUGAGAGAUACAAAGUCUGCUGUAUAUAACUGAUUUCAAGGGAAACUGAGUCCUAGCAAGUGAAAGCUUUUACAGGUGGCCUGGAUGUGCUUAAUAUCUACUGUAUAUCCAGCUUUCAUGUUGAAUAUAAGGAAAAAUUUCUUCUCAGAGAGAGUGAUGAGGCAGUGGCAUGGGCUGCCCAGGGAGCUGAUGGAGUCACUGUUCCUGGAGAUGCUUAAGAAACUUGUGGAUGUGGCACUGAUAGGGUAUAGUGGGCUUGGGUUGGUGGUUGGACUGGUGAUCUUAGAGGUUUUUCUCAACCUUAAUGAUUCUGUGAUUCUACCAGAGGCUUUUUGUUCUGUUUUGAAACAGAAAAUAAAGGCAGGCUUGUGGAAAGAUG